Lynx canadensis (Canada lynx) is the source of this 417-nucleotide long non-coding RNA. RefSeq lists it as uncharacterized. The record is from RefSeq and is a predicted model, not a curated record. The transcript has 2 exons. NCBI's taxonomy places the organism in Eukaryota, Metazoa, Chordata, Mammalia, Carnivora, Felidae.
UCUGUCAUCUUCCAGUACAAUCACUGGUCAUAAUUUAAGGACUAUGAGAGCACUAGAAGUUACAGAAUUAAUUUUUGAAACCAAAAGUCAUCAACGGCAGGAUGACUGAGUGUGGUUUUCCUUGAUCACCACGGACUUGCCCCGCUGACGUCUCUCAUACCAAUUUCUGCGGAUUAUGUCACCAAAAGGGACCCCAGCUCUAGUUCCACUUAGACGGAUACGCCCAGCUACAUAUGCAAUUUCAGCCUGAUGCAUUUUCCCAUCAAGUGUUCUCCCUGGAGCACCCUUUCAUUAAGCAGGAUAAAUGUUUUUACAGGAGUUUUGCUCUGCUGCCGAUCUUGGAGGCAAAAACAUCCCAUGUCAAAGUAUUAUUAACAAAGACACAAUACGUUAUUAAUAAAAACAAAUAGCAAUUCA